GACGAACGCUGGCGGCGUGCUUAACACAUGCAAGUCGAACGGAAAGGCCCUGCUUUUGUGGGGUGCUCGAGUGGCGAACGGGUGAGUAACACGUGAGUAACCUGCCCUUGACUUUGGGAUAACUUCAGGAAACUUGGGCUAAUACCGGAUAGGAGCUCCUGCUGCAUGGUGGGGGUUGGAAAGUUUCGGCGGUUGGGGAUGGACUCGCGGCUUAUCAGCUUGUUGGUGGGGUAGUGGCUUACCAAGGCUUUGACGGGUAGCCGGCCUGAGAGGGUGACCGGCCACAUUGGGACUAAGAUGCGGCCCAGACUCCGACGGGAGGCAGCAGUGGGGAAUAUUGCACAAUGGGCGGAAGCCUGAUGCAGCAACGCCGCGUGCGGGAUGACGGCCUUCGGGUUGUAAACCGCUUUCGCCUGUGACGAAGAGUGAGUGACGGUAAUGGGUAAAGAAGCACCGGCUAACUAAGUG
Molecule: ribosomal RNA, 468 nt
Filed under: uncultured bacterium
Lineage: Bacteria
Description: partial 16S ribosomal RNA
Rfam family: Bacterial small subunit ribosomal RNA
Source: RNAcentral